This 1260-nucleotide long non-coding RNA is filed under the name Phaseolus vulgaris (common bean). RNAcentral's name for it is "long non-coding RNA (PVUL_LNC004079)". Lineage: Eukaryota; Viridiplantae; Streptophyta; Magnoliopsida; Fabales; Fabaceae. The record is from RNAcentral.
AAUUAUAAAUCAUUAUCCAGUAACACAGAUAAUGUUAAUAGUAUUUACCGUAUAUAAAAUAGACCAAAGUAAUCUCAAAGAUAUUUCCCGUUUGACACACUAACUUUUAGACUCUCCAUAUACGCUUUUAUAUUUUUAUACUUGUGCUCAAUGUACUAUCAUCCCCCUAACGUACUAUUUCUAUGAAGAUCAUUCACAUUCCGUCACCAAAACUUAUUACAGAAGAGUCCUUAAUACUCUACUAAAAGAUUAUAACUAAUUAAAUAUCACAGAUGGUGUUGUUUUCAAAUAUUAACCAAUUUCACUGAAAAUUCUAUGAUUUUCACCGAAUUCAAAGGAAAUGUUAAAGUCUGUACCGGCACCUUCAGUAGAAGAAUACUUUUCUUUGUGCUAAAGAACACAGGAAUAUAAUCUGCAAUAAGCCGUCAUCUUGAAAAUUAUGAAUGCAAAUAGAAAAAAUGGCAGUUGUAUAUUUAGACCGUGCUACUUCAGCUCAAAUGUAAAACAAACACAACAGAGGGAUCACAAGAAACAGAUCUAUUUGCAAACUUUGUCUCAUCUUAGAAUAACAAGAGUUACACUCAAACAUACAUUGCAAUUGUAUCAAAGCUCAGGAGGAAUAGUUUAAAAAUAUUAAGAUGGAAGUGACUGACAUGAUGAAAAGAAAACUUAAAAAUAAAAAUAGAAAAAAAAAUUAUCAUCCUAAAUGAAUAUAACAAAAAAAGUCUUGCAAGGUCAAGAAAAAAAUAAAUAAAAAAAAAAGAUUAAAAAAAAAAGCUCAAUCAGGAUAUCGCCAUUAAAAUCCUAUCUCACGCUUCGUUCGCCAUGUGCUGGAGCUGUAGAGAACGCCAAGGAAUCUGGUUGCAUGCGCUCCAGUGAGACAGUGGUAGGAGAUGCUUGAUGCCAUUUGGGAGAUAUUCCUGAGUAGUUAGGCGCAAGAGCAUAUUGAGAUAGAAGUGACAAGUUUGUAGAAAGGUUAUGUUAGGACAAGGUGAUGUUCAUAGGGUAGGUGUGAUAUGAUAUAAAUGGGCAAGUGGUGGUGCAUGGUGAGAAGAUUGAUGGAGUUUAUAUAGUGAAAAGAGAAGGAGAAAUAAAUGAAAAUAAGGGACUACUGACAUUCCAAAAAUGUUGUUGUUUCAGUGAAGUUUGAAGAAAAAGGAAGAGGUUAGUGGACCCAAAAACUGUGGAUUAAUGGAUUCAAAAAACCCUUUUUCCAUGUUGUAGCUCUGUCUCUCUGAUCCCUCCAGCGAGAAGUCUUGA